This 1278-nucleotide ribosomal RNA is filed under the name uncultured Synechococcus sp. RNAcentral describes it as "partial 16S ribosomal RNA". It matches the Rfam family "Bacterial small subunit ribosomal RNA", at positions 19 to 1342 of the family's 1533-position model. The record is from RNAcentral. Lineage: Bacteria; Bacillati; Cyanobacteriota; Cyanophyceae; Synechococcales; Synechococcaceae.
CGGGCACAUGAGUUUAUCUUGUGGCUACGGGUCUUACCAUGCAGUCGAACGAACCUUCGGGUUAGUGGCGGACGGGUGAGUAACGCGUGAGAAUCUGCCCUCAGGAGGGGGACAACAGCUGGAAACGGCUGCUAAUACCCCAUAUGCCGCGAGGUGAAAUGAAUUUCGCCUGAGGAUGAGCUCGCGUCUGAUUAGCUAGUUGGUGUAGGUAAUGGCUCACCAAGGCAUCGAUCAGUAGCUGGUCUGAGAGGAUGAUCAGCCACACUGGGACUGAGACACGGCCCAGACUCCUACGGGAGGCAGCAGUGGGGAAUUUUCCGCAAUGGGCGAAAGCCUGACGGAGCAACGCCGCGUGAGGGAUGAAGGCCUCUGGGCUGUAAACCUCUUUUAUCAAGGAAGAAGAUCUGACGGUACUUGAUGGAUAAGCCACGGCUAAUUCCGUGCCAGCAGCCGCGGUAAUACGGGAGUGGCAAGCGUUAUCCGGAAUUAUUGGGCGUAAAGCGUCCGCAGGCGGCCCUUCAAGUCUGCUGUUAAAAAGUGGAGCUUAACUCCAUCAUGGCAGUGGAAACUGUUGGGCUUGAGUGUGGUAGGGGCAGAGGGAAUUCCCGGUGUAGCGGUGAAAUGCGUAGAUAUCGGGAAGAACACCAGUGGCGAAGGCGCUCUGCUGGGCCAUCACUGACGCUCAUGGACGAAAGCCAGGGGAGCGAAAGGGAUUAGAUACCCCUGUAGUCCUGGCCGUAAACGAUGAACACUAGGUGUCGGGGGAAUCGACCCCCUCGGUGUCGUAGCCAACGCGUUAAGUGUUCCGCCUGGGGAGUACGCACGCAAGUGUGAAACUCAAAGGAAUUGACGGGGGCCCGCACGAGCGGUGGAGUAUGUGGUUUAAUUCGAUGCAACGCGAAAACCUUACCAGGUUUGACAUCCUGCGAAUCUCUUGAAACAGGAGAGUGCCUUCGGGAACGCAGUGACAGUGAUGCAUGACUGUCGUCAGCUCGUGUCGUGAGAUGUGGUAGUCCCGCACGAGCGCACCCACGUCUUUAGUGCCAGCAUUUAGUGGCACUCUAGAGAGACUGCGGUGAUAACCGAGAGGGUGAUGACGUCAGUCAUCAUGCCCUACAUCUGGCUACCACGUCUACAUGCUACGGACAAGGGCAGCAGUUCGCGGGAACAAGCAAAUCCAUAACCUGGCUCAAUUCCAUCUUAGCUGCCACCUUCCCCUACUUGAGGGGGAAGUCCUAUAUAUAUCCGGGGGCGCACAUAUCUAGCGGUGUUAAUGAU